Molecule: ribosomal RNA, 254 nt
Filed under: uncultured bacterium
Lineage: Bacteria
Description: partial 16S ribosomal RNA
Rfam family: Bacterial small subunit ribosomal RNA
Source: RNAcentral
UACGGGGGGAGCAAGCGUUGUUCGGAUUUACUGGGCGUAAAGGGCGCGUAGGCGGCCACUGCAAGUCAGUUGUGAAAUCUCCGGGCUUAACCCGGAAAGGUCAACUGAUACUGCAGGGCUAGAGUGCAGAAGGGGCAACUGGAAUUCUCGGUGUAGCGGUGAAAUGCGUAGAUAUCGAGAGGAACACCUGCGGCGAAGGCGACACGCUGGGCCGUACCUGACACUGAUGCGCGACAGCAUGGGGAGCAAACAGG